RNAcentral lists this ribosomal RNA (253 nucleotides) under uncultured bacterium. Its description in RNAcentral is "partial 16S ribosomal RNA". It matches the Rfam family "Bacterial small subunit ribosomal RNA", at positions 524 to 776 of the family's 1533-position model. The record is from RNAcentral.
UACGUAGGGUGCGAGCGUUAAUCGGAAUUACUGGGCGUAAAGCGUGCGCAGGCGGUGAUGUAAGACAGGUGUGAAAUCCCCGGGCUUAACUUGGGAAUUGCGCUCGAAACUACUUGGCUCGAGUGUGGCAGAGGAAGGUGGAAUUCCAGGUGUAGCGGUGAAAUGCGUAGAGAUCUGGAGGAACACCGAUGGCGAAGGCAGCCUUCUGGGCCAACACUGACGCUCAUGCACGAAAGCGUGGGGAGCAAACAGG